GACAGAGGGUGCAAACGUUGUUCGGAAUUACUGGGCGUAAAGCGCGUGUAGGCUGCUCGGAAAGUCGGGUGUGAAAGCCCUGGGCUCAACCUAGGAAGUGCACUCGAAACUUCCGAGCUGGAGUGCUGGAGAGGAAGGCGGAAUUCUCGGUGUAGAGGUGAAAUUCGUAGAUAUCGAGAGGAACACCGGUGGCGAAGGCGGCCUUCUGGACAGCCACUGACGCUGGAGACGCGAAAGCGUGGGGAGCAAACAGG
This 254-nucleotide ribosomal RNA is filed under the name uncultured bacterium. Its description in RNAcentral is "partial 16S ribosomal RNA". It matches the Rfam family "Bacterial small subunit ribosomal RNA", at positions 524 to 776 of the family's 1533-position model. The record is from RNAcentral.